CAGCCGCCACGGGAACACAGAGGGUGCAAGCGUUAAUCGGAAUUACUGGGCGUAAAGCGCGCGUAGGUGGUUUGUUAAGUUGGAUGUGAAAUCCCCGGGCUCAACCUGGGAACUGCAUCCAAAACUGGCAAGCUAGAGUAUGGUAGAGGGUGGUGGAAUUUCCUGUGUAGCGGUGAAAUGCGUAGAUAUAGGAAGGAACACCAGUGGCGAAGGCGACCACCUGGACUGAUACUGACACUGAGGUGCGAAAGCGUGGGGAGCAAACAGGAUUAGAUACCCGGGUAGUCCCUGUCUCUUAUAC
This 301-nucleotide ribosomal RNA is filed under the name uncultured bacterium. Its description in RNAcentral is "partial 16S ribosomal RNA". It matches the Rfam family "Bacterial small subunit ribosomal RNA", at positions 509 to 807 of the family's 1533-position model. The record is from RNAcentral.